GGAAAUAUUAAAAUGAAAUGAGUAUUUAAAUAUAUCAAAUGCGGAAGCGAGAUCAAAAUUUCAGUUAACAUCCCUUACACGGAAAAAAACCAAAAACGUACUUAAAAUAUAAAAGAUUAAACUAACUAAGAGAGAAACUCGAAAAUAAAACUAUGAGUAUGACUACAGAGUCUCUAGGCAUCCCCUUCGUCGUCCUCCUGC
Molecule: long non-coding RNA, 201 nt
Filed under: Carica papaya (papaya)
Lineage: Eukaryota; Viridiplantae; Streptophyta; Magnoliopsida; Brassicales; Caricaceae
Description: long non-coding RNA (CPAP_LNC007311)
Source: RNAcentral